Molecule: ribosomal RNA, 253 nt
Filed under: uncultured bacterium
Lineage: Bacteria
Description: partial 16S ribosomal RNA
Rfam family: Bacterial small subunit ribosomal RNA
Source: RNAcentral
UACGAAGGGUCCAAGCGUUAUCCGGAUUUAUUGGGUUUAAAGGGUGCGUAGGCGGGUUGUUAAGUCAGUGGUGAAAUCUUGCAGCUUAACUGUAAAAUUGCCAUUGAUACUGACGAUCUUGAGUACACUUGAAGUGGGCGGAAUGUGUCAUGUAGAGGUGAAAUUCUUAGAGAUGACAUAGAACACCGAUUGCGAAGGCAGCUCACUAAAUUGUAACUGACGCUGAGGCACGAAAGCGUGGGGAUCAAACAGG